GCUGACGAGUGGCGGACGGGUGAGUAAUGUCUGGGAAACUGCCUGAUGGAGGGGGAUAACUACUGGAAACGGUAGCUAAUACCGCAUAACGUCGCAAGACCAAAGAGGGGGACCUUCGGGCCUCUUGCCAUCGGAUGUGCCCAGAUGGGAUUAGCUAGUAGGUGGGGUAACGGCUCACCUAGGCGACGAUCCCUAGCUGGUCUGAGAGGAUGACCAGCCACACUGGAACUGAGACACGGUCCAGACUCCUACGGGAGGCAGCAGUGGGGAAUAUUGCACAAUGGGCGCAAGCCUGAUGCAGCCAUGCCGCGUGUAUGAAGAAGGCCUUCGGGUUGUAAAGUACUUUCAGCGGGGAGGAAGGCGAUAAGGUUAAUAACCUUGUCGAUUGACGUUACCCGCAGAAGAAGCACCGGCUAACUCCGUGCCAGCAGCCGCGGUAAUACGGAGGGUGCAAGCGUUAAUCGGAAUUACUGGGCGUAAAGCGCACGCAGGCGGUCUGUCAAGUCGGAUGUGAAAUCCCCGGGCUCAACCUGGGAACUGCAUUCGAAACUGGCAGGCUAGAGUCUUGUAGAGGGGGGUAGAAUUCCAGGUGUAGCGGUGAAAUGCGUAGAGAUCUGGAGGAAUACCGGUGGCGAAGGCGGCCCCCUGGACAAAGACUGACGCUCAGGUGCGAAAGCGUGGGGAAGCAAACAGG
This 694-nucleotide ribosomal RNA is filed under the name Enterobacter hormaechei. Its description in RNAcentral is "bacterial SSU rRNA". It matches the Rfam family "Bacterial small subunit ribosomal RNA", at positions 87 to 776 of the family's 1533-position model. Lineage: Bacteria; Pseudomonadati; Pseudomonadota; Gammaproteobacteria; Enterobacterales; Enterobacteriaceae. The record is from RNAcentral.